UCCGCACCACGCGUCAUGCUCCAUCUAGGCUGGCUUGAAGCGCCUUGCCCGAACGGAGGUCCCCCUGUAAACCAACAGGACAACCUACCCGCUGGCCGACCCAAGAAGACCCUGGAGAACCCAACCCAACUCAACUCAACCCAACCCAACCCAACUCAACCCAACCGGGCCUGGUUUGGCGAGAAGCAGUCUCCCUCCGCCCCUACCCAAGGCGCGCCCAGAAGUUCGCCCUCCUUCCAAGAUUGAGACCUGGAGUGAAUUACAAUUCCCCAGAAGUGACUUUCAACAUACAACUCACUUACGUGGCACAGCAAAGAAGAGACAUGACCACAAAGAUAACUGGGAAGGCAUACAGUGCUCCUCUAGGGAAGGAGUGAGAGACGUGAGCCCAGAGAUCAUCCAGGUACUCUGACAACCAGGACCGACGGACACCUAUGGGAAUCAACCCAAAAGAUCCCUCAGCUUCUGAGGCAGAAUUGUAUCAUUUUCCCCAAUUUCUUGUGGGAGAACGAAACACAAAACACAUUUUUCAACCUGAAAUGGGAAGAACUGAGGAUAAACCCUUGGCUAAACAUGUAACUGCUGUUUAUAAAAUGCUGUUUUUACCUUAUUUCUUUUCAUCUUUUCAUGUAAAAGGCGGGAAACAGCCAGAGGACAAAUCGUUGUGAGGGGAA
Thamnophis elegans (Western terrestrial garter snake) is the source of this 674-nucleotide long non-coding RNA. RefSeq lists it as uncharacterized. The transcript is spliced from 2 exons. NCBI's taxonomy places the organism in Eukaryota, Metazoa, Chordata, Lepidosauria, Squamata, Natricidae. The record is from RefSeq and is a predicted model, not a curated record.